UUUUGUUCCUCAUUGCAAAGUUAGAGUUGAAGUGGAAUAAAUGAGAGCAUCACUAAAUGACACAAGAUACAGUAACAAAACAUACGUCUUUCUUGUUUCAUAGAGUAUUCGUGGAAUUGAAAAACUAAACCGAAAGUUUGGAUUCUACCCUCCCUCCCCAAUAUAAAAUAUUGAAGUUUGUAGCUCUGCAAAAUGGUGGCCAUCAAUAGACAGUGCUCUGUAAGUACCUUGCUCUUGUGCACUCCUCAUUCACAAGUAACAUUCUCCUGCACACUCAGCUUCAGAAGGUAAGAUUUUUUCAGGAGUUAAAUUUCAGCUCGGUAUGUUCACCUGGAAACUAGCUCUCUCUGAGGAACUAAAAGUUAAAAACAUUUAAGAUGCAUUUU
Molecule: long non-coding RNA, 386 nt
Filed under: Calidris pygmaea (Spoon-billed sandpiper)
Lineage: Eukaryota; Metazoa; Chordata; Aves; Charadriiformes; Scolopacidae
Description: lncRNA (ENSCPGG00000005078.1)
Source: RNAcentral